RNAcentral lists this ribosomal RNA (218 nucleotides) under uncultured prokaryote. RNAcentral's name for it is "partial 16S ribosomal RNA". It matches the Rfam family "Bacterial small subunit ribosomal RNA", at positions 355 to 589 of the family's 1533-position model. The record is from RNAcentral.
UGGGGAAUUUUCCGCAAUGGGCGAAAGCCUGACGGAGCAAUACCGCGUGAGGGAGGAAGGCUCUUGGGUUGUAAACCUCUUUUCUCAGGGAAGAAUCCUGACGGUACCUGAGGAAUCAGCAUCGGCUAACUCCGUGCCAGCAGCCGCGGUAAUACGGAGGAUGCAAGCGUUAUCCGGAAUGAUUGGGCGUAAAGCGUCCGCAGGUGGUGAUGCAAGUC